Molecule: long non-coding RNA, 1246 nt
Organism: Nymphaea colorata (pocket water lily)
Lineage: Eukaryota; Viridiplantae; Streptophyta; Magnoliopsida; Nymphaeales; Nymphaeaceae
Exons: 3
Source: RefSeq, a predicted model, not a curated record
CGUAUCAUUAAUGCGGAAAAUGAUGGCCGACUAAGCAACUUGGAAAUGGUGGUGGAGAUCGAUCUCUUCCAAAUAAAUAUGAUUUAGCUUGUUAGGUCAUCUGCUCACCACAUAGGCUAGUUGGGUCAUUGGUUUGUAAUCGUACAAAAGCUAAUCUGAAUGUUCGGCCACAAGGACGAAGGUUCUGGUACAUUGGUUUAACUAGCAAUCCCACGACAGCAGAAAUCCACCUUGGAUUGCGAUGAAGCUCUUUGGCAAAUAUGUAACGACCCGGCAGAUAGUGGUCGCUGCAUCAGGGCUUUUGUUCUUGGGGUCGACCACAUAUGAUGUCCACAGAGCCAUCAAAAACAACGAGACGCCUCCUUCCAAAGAACAGAUCCAAGCUCUGGAAGAUUAUUUAAGAUCCAUCCGUCGAUCCUCGAUUUUAUAAAGAGGAAAGUACAAGAACGAUUUCAAAAGCAGGAUUUCUCAUCUCCAAACUAUUUGGUUCGCUCCUUUCUACAUGAUCUUGACAAGCACUAGGGGGCAGGACCUGAGGUUGGAGGAACUGUUGCAAGUAUCGGUUUCUAUAUCGUAUAUAAACGCUGCAUGAUACGCAGUAUCGGCCAAUAAGCGACGGCCUGUAACGAGCUAUGUCGGCGGCAAUGAGUUAAGAAAGAAACUAAAAAACCCUUGGAUCUUUUUGUUUUCCCCUGAUUUGUUGUGCAUCGAGACGGGUCAAGGGGCAGAGUAUUAAAAAAAAGUGGGUUUAAGCGUCGAAGAUGAUGUUAUACGCGAGUCCCGUGUGGAUCAUCAAGAGACCAGCAUAAGCAAAAUGAAGUCAAAUGAAUGAAGGCGCUUGCAAUAAGUUCUUUAGAAGUUUCUCUCAUCUACUCUGAAACCUCAAAAGUCCUGUAUAUUUUUCGACCUUUCAUUAAAAAAGGGUUUUUUGAAGAAACCUGAUUUCACUUGUUCUGGGAAAUGCGGCGAAGUAGAAAGACCCUUCCAUGCGUCAUGGAAUCAUCCUACACCGGUUGUUUCGUAACCCUCUUUUGCACGUGACCUUCUAUUUGGUCCACAGUGUAUUCAUAAAUCCAAAAGAUGGAGGUUUCAUUGGGGUAUUGGCUAUGUCGCUUUUGGUGGCACAUCCGAUCAUGAGAAACAAUGUAUUUUUUAGAUGGCAGGCUUAUGAUUUCCAUGUUUUGCUUUUUAAUCUCUGGGUUGAAGCUACAGUAAUUGCAAAGGUUUUUGGCAUCCUGACAUCUUA